UACGAAGGGGGCUAGCGUUGCUCGGAUUGACUGGGCGUAAAGGGCGCGUAGGCGGAUAGUACAGUCAGGCGUGAAAUUCCUGGGCUCAACCUGGGGGCUGCGUUUGAUACGUAUUGUCUGGAGUUCGGAAGAGGGUCGUGGAAUUCCCAGUGUAGAGGUGAAAUUCGUAGAUAUUGGGAAGAACACCGGUGGCGAAGGCGGCGACCUGGAUCGUUACUGACGCUCAUGUGCGAAAGCCAGGGGAGCGAACGGG
RNAcentral lists this ribosomal RNA (253 nucleotides) under uncultured bacterium. RNAcentral describes it as "partial 16S ribosomal RNA". It matches the Rfam family "Bacterial small subunit ribosomal RNA", at positions 524 to 776 of the family's 1533-position model. The record is from RNAcentral.